GAGCACCCCAGUCCAGCCCCACAAAGCAGUCGCCCUGGAUCAACUGACCUGCAAAGAGAGACGAGGCUCCUGGGAACCGGCAGAGGCAAUGUUGGCAUCAGAGCAGUGACGUCACUGCCUAACCUCCAACCAGAGAACGGACGCCCAGAACGUCAGCUCUCAGAGAACCAGAGCGCUGAGCAAGGAGACGCAUGCCCAGUUCUGCCCCUCCCUGCCAUGCGCUCCAUCCUCUUCUGCUAUGUGGCCCUUUGUCUCCUGGGAGCAGGCCGAGCGGAUUCUGGAGUCACCCAAACACCGAGACAUCUGAUUCAAGCAAGAGGACAGCAAGUGACACUGAGAUGUUCCCCUGUCUCUGGGCACCUCAGUGUGUAUUGGUACCAACAGGCCCUGAAUCAGGGCCCCCAGUUCCUCUUUGAGUUUUAUGACCAAAAGCAAAGCGCCAAAGGAAACUUCUCGGAUCGAUUCUCAGCCCAACACUUCAGUAACUCUCUCAAUGAGCUGACCGUGAAGUUCUUGGAGCUGAGGGACUCCGCCCUGUACCUCUGUGCCAGCAGCCUGGCACAGCCCUGCUGGGUCACCAGCCUUCUGUGCACAAACCUCCCUGCCCCAGUGAGGAGCAACUUCAGAGCUGACAGAUCCGUGAGAGCCCAGAAACUUCAGUGGGAAAGACCGCCGGGCCCUAGGGCUCCAAUGCCAUUCAGGCAGGGAUAACAGAGGACAAGGACAUCUGUUCAGGGGAACAGGAAGUAUUAAGUGAGGCCUUAUAACAACUGGCAUCACCUGGAGGCCAGUCCCAGGUACGAUCACUGCACAAAUGCUGUGAUGAUGGUGUGAGAAGCCUGGAGUUGAUUUCUGACUUUGCUUCCUGACGUCUUACCUCGGUCCUGCCCCACAGGCACAGGCAAGUACCUCCCACACACAGGGGAGGGCAGGCCUCCCCUGAUUACAAACAGGCAAUUCUGUUUCCUUCUCGCUUGGUAACACCUCACCCUCCAGAUUCCGGUACCUUCAGGGCAUCACCUCUUGGCCACCUUAGGAUGCAUCUUACUCUUUGAGCAAACAUCUCGCGAAAUUUCUUAAAACACGGAUGCCUUUUAAAUUCUCUGCGUCUGGAGU
Molecule: non-coding RNA, 1116 nt
Organism: Sus scrofa (pig)
Lineage: Eukaryota; Metazoa; Chordata; Mammalia; Artiodactyla; Suidae
Source: the annotation of a RefSeq genome assembly